UACGUAGGGGGCUAGCGUUGUCCGGAUUUAUUGGGCGUAAAGAGCGUGUAGGCGGCCAGGUAGGUCUGCUGUGAAAACUCGAGGCUCAACCUCGAGACGUCGGUUGAAACCAUCUGGCUAGAGUCCGGAAGAGGAGAGUGGAAUUCCUGGUGUAGCGGUGAAAUGCGCAGAUAUCAGGAAGAACACCCGUGGCGAAGGCGGCUCUCUGGGACGGUACUGACGCUGAGACGCGAAAGCGUGGGGAGCGAACAGG
This 253-nucleotide ribosomal RNA is filed under the name uncultured bacterium. Its description in RNAcentral is "partial 16S ribosomal RNA". It matches the Rfam family "Bacterial small subunit ribosomal RNA", at positions 524 to 776 of the family's 1533-position model. The record is from RNAcentral.